GUCUAUGCCUGGAAAGCUCCUGUGUGCUGGUUGUGUGCUAAGCCUAUAUUUAUUGUUUUUAGAAUUCAAGAAGAGGGAGCAGAAACAACAGCAGACUGUAUCUCACAGCCACAGCCAAGAAAGAAAGAACUCUCAAACAAAGAAGCCAGCAACUGCAACCAAAAACCUCCAUUUGGGACACAUGAGUCUGAGCAAGUCUCCAUAACUCUUUCUUUAUUUUGCCAAUUCUGUUGUUUGUGUUAAGAAAGAUACACUUCAAAGUGCACAUAUACAGUAUCAUUUAAUUGUUGUUAUCAUUCUGUUCACUUCUAUGGAGAAUUAGAGGGGGGGAAAUCCCACAAGACAGGAUUACACUGCCAAUUGUAAACUCACCCAUACAUAGUGUAAAGAAAGUGUUCUACUAGGAGACAGGAAAGGGAAGGGGGCAGUGAAAGUCAAGAAGCAUGGAACUUGGCCAGUGCAGUGGAGAGAACAAGAGGGAGAAGGAAUAUGGAAAAGAUGGAGGAGAGGGGUUGAAAUUAUGAAGUCCAUGCAAAUAGGAUGUGGUGAUGUUCACUAGCAUACAGAUGAUUCUGAAACAAUUAGACAACUUUGUGGCGGCUGAAAUAGACCAGGAGGUCCUGGGGAAGGGGUGAAGGGGCUAGGUAGCUUGGCCUACCAUCGAGGUCGUGACUGGAGUGAUGUGACUUUCAGUUCCAUAGAAGAGAGAUUUGCUUCUGUUGUCCUUGCAGAUAGUGACCUGAGUCCCAAGAGGACAAUACAUCUUGAAAUAGGGCCAGAGGUUGGAUUUCGCAGAGCCCUCAAUCACCUAUGCCUGUCAAUCACCCAUACCACCCAACUCCCUUUGGUGUCCCUAGCAUCUACCCAUGGGGAACAAUGGGCUGAUUCAAGUUCCCUGUUGUUCCUUAUGGGCAAAACAAGCAGAGUGCACACAGUUUGCAAACCUGCUGUUUGUGCAGAGGUGGGGCAAGUGAUUCCCAACAACCUCAGCUUUCCCUGGAAAGGCUUUGUGCAAGCAGAGUUGGGGCUUCAGAGUUAGGCCUGAUUCAAUUCAACCUCAAAUUGAAUUGCAAAAACCAAUUCGUGCACAUCCCUACUUUUUCCUGCCCUGUUCCCUGCAGCCUUGCUGGCCAAUUAAUUGCUCAGCUAGGUAUGUAUGUACAGUAAGUGACAUCUAAAGCAAUGAGGACUAGUGAUCCUGAAGAGAUUACAAUGCACACCAGCAUCUUCCAGAGCAUUAAGUUGGCUUGCUUAACUGUUCUUAAAGAUGGGUGGCUGUUGCCAACCAAGGUAAAGUCUGGGAUGGCAGGGCAAAGCACACCCGAAGGCCCGCCUGUGUCUAGUGUUGAAAGAUAUCCUUCAGUUGUCUUCCCUUGCCUGAGCUGUGAGAUCCGGAGUCCAGCCGGGUGCAUUCACCCAUCGCUUUGCUCUCCCCAUCUAACACAAUUUCAUCUCCGGUAUUCAUACAAUGCAGCUGCUUCUCAGAGAGCAGGGGACCCUCAGAGGUCGCAUGCUCGGGUAAUUGCCACUUGAUUUUGUGGUCAGGUUCUAGGCUGUGUGAAGCAGCAGCACUGAAGAACUACCUGGGGGUUUGUGGGGCAAUAAGCCCUCCAGCUGAAGCUGGCUUCAAAAGCUGCCCCCAAGCACCCCCCUCAUGUGGUUUCCAUGUCCCUUGCUUAAGCUUGUCGUUUUUCAGGAGCUGGCAUUUCCCCUCACUGGCAUCUUCAGCAGAAUCAUGAGAGUGAUGGAAGGGUUUUCUCGAUUCCUACUGUCUGGAACAUCAAGGAACCUCUAAGGCUGUGAGGAAUUGGCAGCUUUUGCAGGUGGCUGUGAAAGAUCACCCCCACCAGUGACUCCAUUAAGGGCAACCCCCCCCAGAUGGAGCUUCUGGAAGAGGAAGAACCGGAUUGAACCAUCUCCAACUGCAGAAGGGGGCUCUCAGGCUUCUUCAGGAGUCACAAUCGUUCAUCCUCUGGUGGACAACCUUUUUGAAUGCCAUCGUGGAAAGCGUGAAAGAUGCUGAGUCCAGUGGCCAACAUACUCUGGAGUACAACAAAGAGGAGGCUGUUGAGACCAUUUUGGUGUGAGAAAUGCAGCAGAGAAUGGAAGAGAAUGACCAAGCACAGACCCAGUUCAAACCUGACUGCCAUCUUUAUUUUAUUUUAUUUUAUUGCUUAUUUCUCUAUGUAAACUACUUGGAAACCUUUGUUGAAAAACAGUAUGUAAAUAUUUGUUGUGGUGGUUUUUGUUGUUGUCACUAUCCCAAUGAAGUCCAUGGGUACUGACCAACUCUCUUCUGCUCUUUGACCUCUUCCAGGAGAUAAUGGAGGAUGUUACGUUGCAUCUGGACCCUGGCUCCCUCUUGAGAAAAGCCAUGGACACCGUCAAGGAGCUCAGGCUGCGAAGGAACUGCCAAUGCUGCAGGAAGCUGUUUCAGACCUCCCCCUCAUGUGACUCCAUCACGAGCAAGCACCCCAGACGGAGGUUCUCAAAGAGGAGGAACUGUAUUGAACCAACUUCGGCUCCUCCUCCAACUCUGGCUUCUCCUCCAACUCCAGAAGGGGGUUUCCAGACAUCUUCGGGAGUCACAAUUGGCUGCGAAGGGUCUGCAGUUGCUGCAGGGAACUAUGGAAAGCCUCCCCCUCAUAUGACUCCAAGCCCCCCAGACGGAGGUUGUGGAAGAGGAGGAAUCAGAUUGGACCCCCUCCUGCUCCUCCUCCAACUCUGGCUUCGCCAGCAUCUCCUUCUUUUGUGAGAAUCAGCAACGACUUGAGCCUUGCAGCAGAGAAGAUAAGAGAAAGAGAUAAGAUCAUCCUCUGGUGGACAUCCGUGCUUAAUCUGUUGCAGAGCAAGUGAAAGCUGCAGAGUCCAGUGGCCAGGAGGAUACAUUGCAGUUCAGCAAGCUGAAGAUUGUUGAAGCCAUUUUGGUGGACCAUUAUGAAGAUGAUCAGAGGGCUGCUGAAGGAGGCCCCCUCUAUCCUGAACAUAAUUGGCAUCUUGAAGGUAAGUGCAAUGAAAGACCUAUUCGGACAUUAGGUAGUACAUGUAUGCAGGUUUCUGAACACUCAUACAUGAUUUUGUGUGCAUGACUGUAGUUGCAUUUGUUUUACAAGUGAACCUGGGCAUGGGCCCCUCACAGGCCUGGUGCAGAGAGGAAGUGUCAAGCAGUGCCUGUAUUCAACAUCAGGUAUGAAUUGCUGUCCCUGCGUCCAGAUCUGCACCUGUGCACUGUCCACUCAUGGUCUGAGUGUGGAACAUAAGGUGUGAAUGGGGCUUCUGUUUUCAUCCUCUCUGACAUUCGAACGUGGCCUGACAGAAAGAAGCAGCAGACCCCAUUCUCUUUGUCUAUUGAAGAUAUGUCUAGGUCGCUUCCCUAUUAGAAGCAAACUGGCUGAGAAGACAGAGAAAACCAUCAUUCCAAUAAGCAACCUUCAGAAAUAUUUAAGAUCUUUUAAACUUAAUUUGGGGGGAUGGUUAUAUGGGAUUAGAUCAUCCUUAGACUUAUUUGGGACAGCAACCAAGGGAUCUUCCUGUAAUAGGGCAAAUUCCUUCCGGGCUUAGCUCUCGGGAGCAGGGCAAGGGAUUAGUUAGACCAGUGCAAUGACUGUGAGCUGCUGCUUUAACCCACAGGAGCUCCACAAGUACAUCAGCGCUGAGGAGGCUCUGGGCCUUGAAGCCUACAGCUAUGCUCUGGCUCACGUGGCCAGACUGCCCAAUAUGGAAGUAAGUACCCUGCUGCUGGCAGGGCUUGGCUCUGCUUCAGAAUCUUCUGGGACCCCUUGUCAGAUUCCAGGUACAGAAGAAGACCUCUGAUUAGUCUCUUGUUACACAGAGUCUGGACUGCCUGGCAGCACACUUGCUGGAGAGGGGCUGUUUCCACUGGGACUCACUGCAUGCCCCUCCAGAUAGCAGCAGAGGCAGGAGGAACAGGAGAGAGCUGCCCACCCCCCCACCCCCAAUGUGUCUUCUGGCUGCCCAGUGCCCACACUCCAUCUUUGGGAAUCCUCAACUUUGUACCGAACUGUAUCAUUGUAAAUUCUUAGCUGCUUUGGAUAUGGUGUCAGAUUGACAUGAAAGAAACAUGCCCAUCUCUAUUUCUACCGCUGGCCACAUGGAAGGAUCUGUCUCGCAAAGAAGAGGAGUUGGCUCAUCCUGACAUCCAGAGCACCAACAGAUGAGGCUGAUCUGUGGAAAGGCACCAGAGAGGAGAGUCAGUCUGAAGCUUCUCUAUCCCAGUUCCUUUGAUUUGGUGGUUGGUGGCAAGAUUGUGUGGGCAUAUUCUGGUUUUGUAUGCACUGUGGUGUGUGAUAUCCUUUACCCAGACAUGGCUUAUAAGACAGACACUAAAACGGGAGAAGUGUGACUUAGAAGAGAGCAAGGCAGCAAACUCUAAGGGGCUCGUCUGUUAAUGAAAUGAUGCUUGGCAUGGUUUGCACCUUGCAGCCUUCUGCUCCAUUUGUGUCCUGCUCAUCUCCUGACAUUCUAAUGAGAGAGUCAGCAUUGUGUAGUGGUUAGAGUGUUGGACUAAGACCAGGAAGACCUGAGUUCAAAUCCCCAUUCAGCCAUGAAAUCAUUGGGUGACUCUGGGCCAGUAUCUCAAUAUGACUUGUAUUGUAUUGAAUCUGUAAUGCCACUUGUACCCCAGAUCUAAUUGAAAAUAGGUUCUGCUGACCUCAGUGGAAACUGCUUCCAAGUUAAAAAUGAUAACUACCCAAAACAAUACUGCCUCUGAACGUUAGUAUUUUUAAAAAUACUUUAAGUUUAUUGAAAUAUGGAGAAACACAACCGUAGUACAAGUAUAGGUGAAUGUUUGACCUGCCUUGUGUAGACUGAUGAUCUCCCAUGAAACAACACUAUGAAAAUUACAGAGAAAUACUCCUUCCUCCAAAGUUUGCUUCAUUUGGAACCUGUCUUACAGGGAUAGUACUAUUUUAGAUGUGAGCACCACCCUGUUUUAGGAAUAACAAGUAGAGCUACUGGAAUGUUGUCCAGUUCAAGACAGGUUGCAAUGGAGUCACAACAGUGUGUAUGUGGAGGGGAGAGUGAAAUUUUAUUGUGAAAUGUGAAAUUGUAUUGCAAUUAUUAGACAGUGAUUCGGAAAAAUUGCCAUUUCUGUUGACUUUUGCGCUACUUCAAUACAAGUACCCCAGGCAGCAAAUUGCUUUUAAGAGGCUAUAUCACCUGCACCCACUCACCCUGCUGACUUUUGUGAUCCUCCCCACCAAGACUUUGAAGCUGGCUACAGGCCUGUGGAGAGGAGAGCUGGCCUUGUGGUAGCAAGCUUCAUCCAGCUGAUGAGAACAUUACACUAAAGGUCUUGUGGAAUAAAAAUGUCUUCAAUGCGCACUUGAAUGUUUUGAUAUUGUGAUGAUGUGAGAAAGAGCCAUCCAGCUUUGUCCCAAGGCCCUUAAUAGAAUGAAUUGCUAAUAUAUCCUUGAAUACAGAAUACUGAGGAGGUGGGGUUUUUUGGUCCUCUGCAAAGGGUAAGCAGCAGCCCAUCUCUCUCUAAUGCCAGGCUAACCCCGAUCCGCUUUUUUCAGUGGCCUGGCAGUAUGAUGUCCAUUGCAGUGCCAUCCAAGAGCCAAGU
Long non-coding RNA from Hemicordylus capensis (graceful crag lizard), 5587 nucleotides. RefSeq lists it as uncharacterized. The record is from RefSeq and is a predicted model, not a curated record. NCBI's taxonomy places the organism in Eukaryota, Metazoa, Chordata, Lepidosauria, Squamata, Cordylidae. The transcript is spliced from 8 exons.